AUGAACGCUGGCGGCGUGCCUCAUACAUGCAAGUCGCGCGAACGGACGAGAAGCUUGCUUCUCUGAUGUUGGCGGCGGACGGGUGAGUAACACGUGGAUAACCUACCUAUAAGACUGGGAUGACUUCGGGAAACCGGAGCUAAUACCGGAUAAUAUUUUGAACCGCAUGGUUCAAAAGUGAAAGACGGUCUUGCUGUCACUUAUAGAUGGAUCCGCGCUGCAUUAGCUAGUUGGUAAGGUAACGGCUUACCAAGGCAACGAUGCAUAGCCGACCUGAGAGGGUGAUCGGCCACACUGGAACUGAGGCACGGUCCAGACUCCUACGGGAGGCAGCAGUAGGGAAUCUUCCGCAAUGGGCGAAAGCCUGACGGAGCAACGCCGCGUGAGUGAUGAAGGUCUUCGGAUCGUAAAACUCUGUUAUUAGGGAAGAACAUAUGUGUAAGUAACUGUGCACAUCUUGACGGUACCUAAUCAGAAAGCCACGGCUAACUACGUG
RNAcentral lists this ribosomal RNA (496 nucleotides) under uncultured bacterium. Its description in RNAcentral is "partial 16S ribosomal RNA". It matches the Rfam family "Bacterial small subunit ribosomal RNA", at positions 29 to 507 of the family's 1533-position model. The record is from RNAcentral.